UACGUAGGGUGCGAGCGUUACUCGGAAUUACUGGGCGCAAAGCGUGCGCAGGCGGUUUUUUAAGUCUGAUGUGAAAGCCCCGGGCUUAACCUGGGAACUGCGUUGGAAACUGAAAGACUAGAGUGCGGCAGAGGGGGGUAGAAUUCCACGUGUAGCGGUGAAAUGCGUAGAUAUGUGGAGGAAUACCGGUGGCGAAGGCAGCACCCUGGGUCGACACUGACGCUGAGGCGCGAAAGCGUGGGGAGCAAACAGG
RNAcentral lists this ribosomal RNA (253 nucleotides) under uncultured bacterium. RNAcentral's name for it is "partial 16S ribosomal RNA". It matches the Rfam family "Bacterial small subunit ribosomal RNA", at positions 524 to 776 of the family's 1533-position model. The record is from RNAcentral.